UACAGAGGUCUCAAGCGUUGUUCGGAUUCAUUGGGCGUAAAGGGUGUGUAGGUGGCGCCGUAAGUCGGGUGUGAAAUCUCGGGGCUUAACUCCGAAACUGCAUUCGAUACUGCGGUGCUUGAGGACUGGAGAGGAGACUCGAAUUCAUGGUGUAGCAGUGAAAUGCGUAGAGAUCAUGAGGAAGACCAGUGGCGAAGGCGGGUCUCUGGACAGUUCCUGACACUGAGACACGAAGGCCAGGGGAGCAAACGGG
RNAcentral lists this ribosomal RNA (253 nucleotides) under uncultured bacterium. RNAcentral's name for it is "partial 16S ribosomal RNA". It matches the Rfam family "Bacterial small subunit ribosomal RNA", at positions 524 to 776 of the family's 1533-position model. The record is from RNAcentral.